GUAGGUGGCAAGCGUUGUCCGGAUUUACUGGGCGUAAAGGGCGCGCAGGUGGCUCGUCAAGUCUAGGGUGAAAUCUCCCGGCUCAACCGGGAGGAGUCUCUGGAUACUGGCAGGCUAGAGGGAAGCAGAGGAGAGCGGAAUUCCCGGUGUAGCGGUGAUAUGCGUAGAUAUCGGGAGGAACACCAGUGGCGAAGGCGGCUCUCUGGGCUUUUUCCUGACGCUGAGGCGCGAAGCGUGGGGGAGCAAACCGGGAUUAGAUACCCGGGUAGUCCACGCCGUAAACGUUGGUACUAGGUGUGGGGGUAUGACCCCCCUCCGUGCCGUAGUUAACGCAAUAAGUACCCCGCCUGGGAGUACGACCGCAAGGUUA
RNAcentral lists this ribosomal RNA (370 nucleotides) under uncultured organism. RNAcentral describes it as "partial 16S ribosomal RNA". It matches the Rfam family "Bacterial small subunit ribosomal RNA", at positions 527 to 896 of the family's 1533-position model. The record is from RNAcentral.